GUGGGGAAUCUUCCGCAAUGGACGAAAGUCUGACGGAGCGACGCCGCGUGAGUGAAGAAGGCCUUCGGGUCGUAAAGCUCUGUCAUCAGGGACGAACGGCCGGUGGAGUGGAAAGCCACCGGAUUGACGGUACCUGAGAAGGAAGCCACGGCUAACUACGUGCCAGCAGCCGCGGUAAUACGUAGGUGGCAAGCGUUGUCCGGAAUUAUUGGGCGUAAAGCGCGCGCAGGUGGGAUCUUAAGUCCAUUUUGAAAGUUCGGAGCUCAACUCCGUGAUGGGAUGGAAACUGGGAUUCUUGAGUACCGGAGAGGAAAGCGGAAUUCCCCGUGUAGCGGUGAAAUGCGUAGAUAUGGGGAGGAACACCAGUGGCGAAGGCGGCUUUCUGGACGGUGUCUGACACUGAGGCGCGAAAGCCAGGGGAGCGAACGGGAUUAGAAACCCUGGUAGUCC
This 450-nucleotide ribosomal RNA is filed under the name uncultured bacterium. RNAcentral describes it as "partial 16S ribosomal RNA". It matches the Rfam family "Bacterial small subunit ribosomal RNA", at positions 354 to 796 of the family's 1533-position model. The record is from RNAcentral.